CGCGACUCCAACUGCCCACUGGCUGAGGCCUAGGAGGCGGGAGCGAGACGGCUCCGCCCGCAAAACAGCCCCACCUCCACAUUGGCCAAGGCUCGGAGAGGGGCGGGAUGUCCCUAAAUCUACUGGACCUGAAGACGUGUCCCAUUUCUGCGUGUUAGACAGCGGUGCUCUCUCUGUGGUUGAAGAUGAUUUCAGAGACCUCUGAGAGAGUAGUACACCCCGUGAUCAGCCUGCAGCUCCACUCCUCCACCAUGUCACCAUCACCCAGCUGGAGAAGCGCCAGGCCUGACGAAGAAGGUGCUUCCUGCAGGGAUCCAGACACAGAGGCCAAACACAAGUGCACCAGCAAGUCCUACCCUGUUCCUCAACACCGUUACAACCCAGCAAAUUGAUUCAUCAGUGGCCAGGAAGACCUGUUCCUUCUGUAAAAC
This is a long non-coding RNA of Herpailurus yagouaroundi (jaguarundi), 431 nucleotides long. RefSeq lists it as uncharacterized. The transcript is spliced from 3 exons. NCBI's taxonomy places the organism in Eukaryota, Metazoa, Chordata, Mammalia, Carnivora, Felidae. The record is from RefSeq and is a predicted model, not a curated record.